RNAcentral lists this unclassified non-coding RNA (262 nucleotides) under Melitaea cinxia (Glanville fritillary). RNAcentral's name for it is "misc RNA ENSMCXG00005012630.1". Lineage: Eukaryota; Metazoa; Arthropoda; Insecta; Lepidoptera; Nymphalidae. The record is from RNAcentral.
GCAAUAACUACGGAUGAAUAGAUGGUCAAUGCACGAUCUGCAUAAUAUAUUGCCGUGUUUUUCUAUACGCGUAAAUUGAUUUAUAGCACACUCAAAGCCCAAAUUACUCAAAGAAUUAAGAUAUAAGGUCGUCACAGGGUUACUCUGCUUCAAGUCAAUGUUCAUAUCACCAAUUACAAGGUCUCUUACCCCCUCUCGCCCCCUUUAGUACUGCAGCGCCUACAAGGGGGCGUUUUCGCCUCGGAUGCCUCGGAGAGCUCAG